AUGAGGCGAGCAUAGAGAGAGCUGCUUUUCAUAAAACGGGACUAAUGUAGUAAACUUACAGGAACAUAUACCACUACCAACGUUUGGAUCGAUAUCUGCAUCGAUCUGCACACCCUUGUCUCCUGGAUCCUAGCUGAGAUCAGCGUGAACCACGUGGGUCUCUGCUCCCUGAUCUGUUUCCUGUGUUUAGAAAGACUUCCAGCUUCAUGACGGAGUUUCUCUCGGUUUGUGGGCUCAUCUAAAGCUGAGUAACAGGAGGAGAAGAGUCUGGUGGAGCAGCAGAUGAACAAUUUCAGCCAUUUGGACUCAGCUCAGCCACUACAGAGGAAACAAUGACUUCAACACAAAAGUGUGUCAAUACAGGUGGGCGUCUUUCAACUUUGCAACCUUGAGUUCAGCAGCAGAAAAGUAGAUUAAAAGAAUUGGGAAAAUAAGCCAGUCUUUGGCUCGAAAUUGUGCGGCUGGAUCUCUCACUUUGUCCCUGAAGCGGAGAAGAAGUUCAAAGGACAGUCAAUCGCCUGAUGAAGACCGAUAGAACAUCGUGGACUUGAAUACAGCAGGCAAACGACAGUGCCACUGAUCCAUUAACACUGAUGACGACUGACGACCAGCAGUAGCAUGUAAGAGUAAUGCAAGAUGUACUGUGAAAAUACAGGCUGGGCAGUUGAACAGUGGGAUAAAGAAUUGUGGAAGAGCACUGGACAUUGAGUGAUAUUUUGCCAUGCUGGGACUUAAUCUGAAAGAAAGACUGUAAAGAAACAGAGAAGAAGACAACAGCUGAGUUGAGACUGUGUUUGCGGGAGCUUUGAAGCCCGAACAGGACAUUGUGCAGAGAGGACCAGUGAGAGAUGAAGCUGGACGAGUUUGACUGCGAGAAGAUAGGAGAUGAUUGGAUUGAAAAUUGAAGCCUGAACUCAUGAAUUGUUUAGGGAUGUCCACCAUAGCAUAACAAAGAGGUAAACAUUAGAAAAGGUAAGAAUAAUGAAAGAAAUAAUUGUCAUUACCUUAAUGAAUAGAAAACACACAUACAAAUUGUUACAUGUGAGAUAUUUUUGAAAUGAAUCAGAAGUGAGAUAGUUUGAAUCUAAAGCUCAGUGGUGAAAUGCAUAAAUUAAAUAUGAAUAUAUAGGAUGCAAUGAAGAAACAGCUUACACGUAGUGUACAUUAACAUGAAUACAUCGCAAGGCAACGAAGAACUCAAUGAAUUAAUUUAAUGAAGAAGCAGUUUACACCCAAUUAACAUAAAAUGCAGGGAAGAACACGCUUACAUGCCUGGCAUAAUUGGUGUUUCUGACAGAAAAGUCAGAGAAAUGGGUUAUUUAACCACUGGUGAUAAUAAUGAAAAUGUCUUAGUUUUGUUAUUUUCAGGAGUAAAGCAGACUUGGACCGGCUCUCCAGAUCCAGCAGUCGGAAGAAAGUUAGAGGUUAACAUCUAUGGAUAAGUUAAGGCAAGUUUCUGGUUGAAUUGUUCACAGCAUGAUGUGUCCAGGAACCUGAAAAGCAAGCCCCAGCUCCUGGCUGAAGACCAGGAGGGCGGUAAUUUAAGGUGGGAAAUCAAAAUGUGGGUUAGUAACUCGGGGAAAAAGAAAACUGACUGCUUAACUGGAGAGUUGGGAAGAAGUCUGGGAGACUGUGAAGUCAUAGAUGCAAAAUAACAUAUACCCAUACACACACAAACAGAAAAUGUAUUAACCUUAUAAAGACAAGCUCCUGAAGCUUAAUGAAUAGAUAUUGAUUAAAAACCUGGCUAAGAACAUAAGCAUAUGCAAUGAAGAUCUGCUUGCUGCUUGUAUGAGUGAGAGAGAUGGUGUGAAUGGUUCAUA
Oreochromis aureus is the source of this 1823-nucleotide long non-coding RNA. NCBI's taxonomy places the organism in Eukaryota, Metazoa, Chordata, Actinopteri, Cichliformes, Cichlidae. The record is from Ensembl.